CUAACACAUGCAAGUCGAGCGGCAGCGAGUGUAGUAGCAAUACUACAUGUCGGCGAGCGGCGGACGGGUGAGUAACGCGUAAGAACCUGCCGUAUAGAUGGGGACAACCAAGGGAAACUUUGGCUAAUACCGAAUAUUCUCGCGAGAGGAAAGGUGCCUAGCAAUAGGUGUCGCUAUACGAGGGGCUUGCGUCCGAUUAGCUAGUUGGUGGGGUAAAAGCCUACCAAGGCGAUGAUCGGUAACUGGUCUGAGAGGACGACCAGUCACACUGGGACUGAGACACGGCCCAGACUCCUACGGGAGGCAGCAGUGGGGAAUAUUGGGCAAUGGGGGCAACCCUGAUCCAGCGAUGCCGCGUGGGUGAAGAAGGCCUUCGGGUUGUAAAGCCCUUUAAGAUGGGAAGAAGAGUGUGAGAGUAAUAUGCUCAUGCCUUGACGGUACCGUCAGAAUAAGCACCGGCAAACUCUGUGCCAGCAGCCGCGGUAA
RNAcentral lists this ribosomal RNA (486 nucleotides) under uncultured bacterium. Its description in RNAcentral is "partial 16S ribosomal RNA". It matches the Rfam family "Bacterial small subunit ribosomal RNA", at positions 48 to 523 of the family's 1533-position model. The record is from RNAcentral.